This 69-nucleotide transfer RNA is filed under the name Yersinia enterocolitica. RNAcentral describes it as "tRNA-Leu". RNAcentral also lists the same sequence under 13 other names. The record is from RNAcentral. Lineage: Bacteria; Pseudomonadati; Pseudomonadota; Gammaproteobacteria; Enterobacterales; Yersiniaceae.
GGCGGAAUUGGUAGACGCGCUAGCUUCAGGUGUUAGUGUUCUUACGGACGUGAGGGUUCAAGUCCCUCC